Salvia miltiorrhiza (redroot sage) is the source of this 1234-nucleotide RNA transcript. RefSeq lists it as uncharacterized. The transcript is spliced from 9 exons. The record is from RefSeq and is a predicted model, not a curated record. NCBI's taxonomy places the organism in Eukaryota, Viridiplantae, Streptophyta, Magnoliopsida, Lamiales, Lamiaceae.
UCUCGACUCCCUCUCUCCCCUCUCAACUCCGCCGCCGGCGCCGCUGCCCUGCACCGGCCCGUCGCCGCCCACCCUCGCUGCUGCCCCGCGCCCUAGUUCUUCUCUAUUCGAUUGGUUGAGCCCUAGUUCUUCUCUGUUCGAAACAACCCAGCCGUCGCCAUCUCAGGAAGACCGGCGAGCUACGCGACCUAGAGCCCGCCCAUCGUUGCUGGUGGUCCGAGGAUCGGCGAGCCGAUGGUGUUCUACGGCCGGUUCUCUUCUCAACUCCACAUAAUCGAGGCAGGAAAGGGGGAAAGCCCUAAUUCUCUAAUUUGCAAUCGAGAGCAGAUGAGGUUGAUAAUUGGGCGUCGAACAAGAGUUUUGCCCCUUCUCCCUCUCUCUACCUCCUCUCUGCGCCGCCUUUGUCUCCGGCGAGCAGCCGCUAGCCGCCACCUUCUCCAGCCUGGCGUCGCCCCCCAUCCCCAUCACCCCUCUCUCGCUUCCACCACCACGAGCAACCUCCAUCGUCGGCUCAGCGCCCACCACCGCUCCAAUCGCACCACCACUACCCCUGGCACCUGCCUCCAGCCUCUGACUCCGACAACAGUCGCCCUCAUUCUUCAGUGUUGUACAGGUCACUUAACAAGCCGAUGCAGCUGGAGCAUUGGAAAGAAGAGAGUGGAGACCCUUGUGCAGAACCACCCUGGACUGGAGUUCAAUGCAUCGGAUCAUCAAUUAUCGACCUUAAACUUCAUGGGCUGGGGCUGACAGGAAGCAUUGGAUUUGAGCUCUCAAAUCUCAAGAGUCUGAAGAAAUUGGACCUUAGUUCAAAUGACAUUGAGGGAUCAAUCCCCUACAGUUUACCUCCCAACCUCACGCACCUAAACUUCGCUGAGAACAAAUUUAGUCAGAGCUUUCCAUACUCGAUAGAGAAGAUGAAACACCUCCAACAUCUGUUUGAAAGUACACGGUGAUAGAGAGAUUGAUAAAGAGAUAAGCUUCAAGAAAUAACUUCCCAAUUCUGGUGCCCCCAGUUAGCUUCAGUGAACGAGAAUCGGGAAUAUGUUAUAGUAGGUGGUGGAAAUUCAGUUGGUUAUGCUGCUCGGACUUUUGUUGAGCAUGGAGUGGCUGAUGGGAAGCUCUGCAUUGUCUCCAAAGAGGUUUUUCAUUCUAUAAUAUGGCACAAAACUUUGUGUUGCUGCGCUGCUUUAGUUGUUCUUGUGGAGUAUCAGACAAUGAAAUUUUGUGUAUUUUG